This 253-nucleotide ribosomal RNA is filed under the name uncultured bacterium. Its description in RNAcentral is "partial 16S ribosomal RNA". It matches the Rfam family "Bacterial small subunit ribosomal RNA", at positions 524 to 776 of the family's 1533-position model. The record is from RNAcentral.
UACGUAGGUGGCAAGCGUUGUCCGGAUUUAUUGGGUUUAAAGGGUGCGUAGGCGGUCCUGUAAGUCAGUUGUGAAAUACGGCAGCUUAACUGUCGAGGUGCAAUUGAUACUGCAGGACUUGAGUACUGAUGAGGUAGGCGGAAUGGACGGUGUAGCGGUGAAAUGCUUAGAGAUCGUCCAGAACACCGAUAGCGAAGGCAGCUUACUAAGGAGUAACUGACGCUGAGGCACGAAAGUGUGGGGAUCAAACAGG